RNAcentral lists this ribosomal RNA (486 nucleotides) under uncultured bacterium. RNAcentral describes it as "partial 16S ribosomal RNA". It matches the Rfam family "Bacterial small subunit ribosomal RNA", at positions 30 to 507 of the family's 1533-position model. The record is from RNAcentral.
AUUGAACGCUGGCGGCAUGCCUUACACAUGCAAGUCGAACGGCAGCACGGGUGCUUGCACCUGGUGGCGAGUGGCGAACGGGUGAGUAAUACAUCGGAACAUGUCCUGUAGUGGGGGAUAGCCCGGCGAAAGCCGGAUUAAUACCGCAUACGAUCUACGGAUGAAAGCGGGGGACCUUCGGGCCUCGCGCUAUAGGGUUGGCCGAUGGCUGAUUAGCUAGUUGGUGGGGUAAAGGCCUACCAAGGCGACGAUCAGUAGCUGGUCUGAGAGGACGACCAGCCACACUGGGACUGAGACACGGCCCAGACUCCUACGGGAGGCAGCAGUGGGGAAUUUUGGACAAUGGGCGAAAGCCUGAUCCAGCAAUGCCGCGUGUGUGAAGAAGGCCUUCGGGUUGUAAAGCACUUUUGUCCGGAAAGAAAUCCUUGGCCCUAACACGGUCGGGGGAUGACGGUACCGGAAGAAUAAGCACCGGCUAACUACGUG